Molecule: non-coding RNA, 723 nt
Organism: Pelobates cultripes (western spadefoot toad)
Lineage: Eukaryota; Metazoa; Chordata; Amphibia; Anura; Pelobatidae
Source: the annotation of a GenBank genome assembly
GAGAACCAACAGCAUAGACACAAAUAUAUAUGAAACCUAGUUGGCAAAAGGGACUGCCCAUCAGCUGGCACCAUAUAUGUCUUCUGUUAUUUGGAAGAUUUGAAUUCUGGUGUCCGAAGGGAGAUUAUUAUGGUGUUUUUCUACCCUGUAAAGUGGUUUCUAACUUCUCGUCUGAAGCCUUUUUGGACAUUGUUCUAUCACUAUUAAGGGGGGUCUUAUGUUACGUUUUUCUUUUUGUUAUAAAGAUAGUGUAAGAAUAAACCUGAGGUUUCUAAAGAUAACUCGCUUUUAUUUAUUUUUGUACCACAAUUAAAAGAAAAGAGUGUCCAUUUAUUCCAGGUUUUAAAUAACAGAAAACAUUUCCAUGCUGUAUUGGAGUAAUGGGAGUUGUAAGUGUUGAGAAAAUAAAUGGUAUUCUCCAGUGUAGCAAACUUUUUCUUCCAAAGGAUUUUAAAGAAAGAAGUUCAUUAAAGCAGGUAAGCAUUCCUUUUACUGCAGUGUGGAAAACAGCAAGUUAAACAGUAAAGUAAAAGCCCUCUCUCUUGUUUUGGAAAUGAAAUGUAAAAGGUCACUCCAGACCCUUAAAACACUUCAGCUUGCUGAAAAGCUUCAUGUGGGAAGAGUGUGUCCUUUUUUUGUUCGUUUUGGAGAAAGUGCAGAUUUUAAUAGAAAUUUAUACUUUUAUGAAUGAUACUGGUUACAUCCCCCUGGCUUUUAAAGCAG